This 497-nucleotide ribosomal RNA is filed under the name uncultured bacterium. RNAcentral's name for it is "partial 16S ribosomal RNA". It matches the Rfam family "Bacterial small subunit ribosomal RNA", at positions 28 to 507 of the family's 1533-position model. The record is from RNAcentral.
GAUGAACGCUGGCGGCGUGCCUAAUACAUGCAAGUCGAGCGAACGGACGAGAAGCUUGCUUCUCUGAUGUUAGCGGCGGACGGGUGAGUAACACGUGGAUAACCUACCUAUAAGACUGGGAUAACUUCGGGAAACCGGAGCUAAUACCGGAUGAUAUUUUGAACCGCAUGGUUCAAAAGUGAAAGACGGUCUUGCUGUCACUUAUAGAUGGAUCCGCGCUGCAUUAGCUAGUUGGUAAGGUAACGGCUUACCAAGGCAAUGAUGCAUAGCCGGCCUGAGAGGGUGAUCGGCCACACUGGAACUGAGACACGGUCCAGACUCCUACGGGAGGCAGCAGUAGGGAAUCUUCCGCAAUGGGCGAAAGCCUGACGGAGCAGCGCCGCGUGAGUGAUGAAGGUCUUCGGAUCGUAAAACUCUGUUAUUAGGGAAGAACAUAUGUGUAAGUAACUGUGCACAUCUUGACGGUACCUAAUCAGAAAGCCACGGCUAACUACGUG